RNAcentral lists this unclassified non-coding RNA (378 nucleotides) under uncultured bacterium. Its description in RNAcentral is "contains 16S-23S intergenic spacer region". The record is from RNAcentral.
UCCGUUUUGUCAACGGCAGUCUCAACAGAGUUCCCGGCCGAACCGCUGGCAACUGUUGAUAAGGGUUGCGCUCGUUGCGGGACUUAACCCAACAUCUCACGACACGAGCUGACGACAGCCAUGCAGCACCUGUGUCCAGGUUCCCUUUCGGGCACCGCUGCAUUUCUGCAGCGUUCCUGGCAUGUCAAGGGUAGGUAAGGUUUUUCGCGUUGCAUCGAAUUAAACCACAUGCUCCACCGCUUGUGCAGGCCCCCGUCAAUUCCUUUGAGUUUCGGUCUUGCGACCGUACUCCCCAGGCGGGAUGCUUAAUGCGUUAGCUGCGCCACCAACAAGCAUGCUUGCUGACGGCUAGCAUCCAUCGUUUAAGGCGUGGACUAC